RNAcentral lists this long non-coding RNA (222 nucleotides) under Nicotiana benthamiana. RNAcentral's name for it is "long non-coding RNA (NBEN_LNC000659)". The record is from RNAcentral. Lineage: Eukaryota; Viridiplantae; Streptophyta; Magnoliopsida; Solanales; Solanaceae.
UCCAUAGCAUUAGUUUACAUGAAUGGCGUAUUCAUGAAAUCGACCAAUCAACUAUGUUUCAAUCCCAAACUAAUCAGAUUUGGCUAUAUAAAUUCGUUGUAAUGUGGGGGUGUGGGGGUGGGAGUAGAGAGAGGUAGAUAAACUAAAAUUGGAGAAUAUAUGCUCCUAAAAUCAUGCGUAAAAUAAAUGAAUCAAUAAUUAUACCCUUAAUUUGAAUUAUGG